RNAcentral lists this microRNA precursor (85 nucleotides) under Leersia perrieri. RNAcentral's name for it is "pre miRNA mir-395". It matches the Rfam family "mir-395 microRNA precursor family". Rfam says of the family: mir-395 was identified in both Arabidopsis thaliana and Oryza sativa computationally and was later experimentally verified. mir-395 is thought to target mRNAs coding for ATP sulphurylases. Lineage: Eukaryota; Viridiplantae; Streptophyta; Magnoliopsida; Poales; Poaceae. The record is from Rfam by way of RNAcentral.
GAGCCCCCAGGAGUUCCCUUCAAACACUUCACGGCAAACUGCUUAGGGAGUCGCGUGAAGUGUUUGGGGGAACUCUUGGUGUCAC